RNAcentral lists this ribosomal RNA (301 nucleotides) under uncultured Eubacteriales bacterium. RNAcentral's name for it is "bacterial SSU rRNA". It matches the Rfam family "Bacterial small subunit ribosomal RNA", at positions 202 to 523 of the family's 1533-position model. Lineage: Bacteria; Bacillati; Bacillota; Clostridia; Eubacteriales. The record is from RNAcentral.
AAAGAUUUAUCGGCAAGAGAUGAGCCCGCGUUGGAUUAGCUAGUUGGUGAGAUAACAGCCCACCAAGGCGACGAUCAGUAGCCGGUCUGAGAGGAUGAACGGCCACAUUGGAACUGAGACACGGUCCAAACUCCUACGGGAGGCAGCAGUGGGGGAUAUUGCACAAUGGGGGGAAACCCUGAUGCAGCGACGCCGCGUGAACGAAGAGGGUAUUCGUAUCGUAAAGUUCUGUCCUAUGGGAAGAUAAUGACAGUACCAUAGAAGAAAGCUCCGGCUAAAUACGUGCCAGCCGCCGCGGUAA